RNAcentral lists this long non-coding RNA (699 nucleotides) under Fukomys damarensis (Damara mole-rat). RNAcentral describes it as "lncRNA (ENSFDAG00000024508.1)". The record is from RNAcentral. Lineage: Eukaryota; Metazoa; Chordata; Mammalia; Rodentia; Bathyergidae.
GAUAGAUUAUUUAUUUAUUUAUUUAUUUAUUUAUUUAUUCAUUUAUUUAUUUCUACAGUUAUCUUUUCCCACCUGGAUCCAAGUAGGAGCAGCUGUUUGCAGCAGGCAGGAGUCCGAGGCGCCCCCUCCGUGGCUUUGGGGAUUCUAACCAUCUUUUUCAUGUCUGACCACCAACCCCCAAUUUUAUGGCUCAACCUGAAGUGUUCUGCAUACUUCUACCUCAAGUCUAAUUUUUCACCAUCAGUCACGAAUUAAUUCAACUUUGGUAGUGAUCAAUUAGAUAUUCUUAUCAAAUCUUUUUUUAAGCAAGGAGAAGGGGACUAAAAUCAACCAAUGAUGAGAGGUUUAUUACCAAGAAAACAAGCUACAGUUAAUUUCUGAAUCAGAAUAUUGUGCUACACAAAAUUUGCUACAAAGUACAUUGCUAGUCAGGAUACAUCUACACAGCAUUUAAUUGAAUAUGACAAAUAAGAGUCAAAGAAAAUAAAGAUAGAGAUCAAUUAGGAAUGGAUGUCUUAUCCUAUAAACUUAUCUGUAAUUCUUUUUUUUCUUAAGUUUAUUGGUACAUUUUAGGUAUAUAGUACAGUUACAUUCAUCAUUGGGAUCUUGUACCAUUACAUGACAGGUCUUGGUUCUCAUUUUUUCCCCUUGUCCCUGCCCUGCCUUCACCCCCUCCUCUCCUCCCCACUUACAAACACU